RNAcentral lists this ribosomal RNA (494 nucleotides) under uncultured bacterium. RNAcentral describes it as "partial 16S ribosomal RNA". It matches the Rfam family "Bacterial small subunit ribosomal RNA", at positions 28 to 507 of the family's 1533-position model. The record is from RNAcentral.
GACGAACGCUGGCGGCGUGCUUAACACAUGCAAGUCGAACGGAAAGGCCUGCUUUCCCUUGUGGAUUGCGGGUACUCGAGUGGCGAACGGGUGAGUAACACGUGAGUGAUCUGCCCCCAACUUGGGUAUAAGCCUGGGAAACUGGGUCUAAUUCCCGAUAGGACUGCAGGGUGGUGUCUGUGGUGGCAGACGAUUUUCUAGUGGUUGGGGAUGAGCUCGCGGCCUAUCAGCUUGUUGGUGGGGUAAUGGCCUACCAAGGCGGCGACGGGUAGCCGGCCUGGGAGGGUGGACGGCCACAUUGGGACGGAGAUACGGCCCAGACUCCUACGGGAGGCAGCAGUGGGGAAUAAUACACAAUGAGCGGAAGCCUGAUGCAGCGACGCCGCGUGGGGGAUGACGGCCUUCGGGUUGUAAACUCCUUUCGACCGCGAGGAAGCCACCUGGUUGGAAGGGUGGUGACGGUAGUGGUAGAAGAAGCACCGGCUAACUACGUG